AGAGUUUGAUCAUGGCUCAGAUUGAACGCUGGCGGCAGGCCUAACACAUGCAAGUCGAGCGGUAGCACAGAGAGCUUGCUCUCGGGUGACGAGCGGCGGACGGGUGAGUAAUGUCUGGGAAACUGCCUGAUGGAGGGGGAUAACUACUGGAAACGGUAGCUAAUACCGCAUAACGUCGCAAGACCAAAGUGGGGGACCUUCGGGCCUCAUGCCAUCAGAUGUGCCCAGAUGGGAUUAGCUAGUAGGUGGGGUAAUGGCUCACCUAGGCGACGAUCCCUAGCUGGUCUGAGAGGAUGACCAGCCACACUGGAACUGAGACACGGUCCAGACUCCUACGGGAGGCAGCAGUGGGGAAUAUUGCACAAUGGGCGCAAGCCUGAUGCAGCCAUGCCGCGUGUAUGAAGAAGGCCUUCGGGUUGUAAAGUACUUUCAGCGAGGAGGAAGGCGUUAAGGUUAAUAACCUUGGCGAUUGACGUUACUCGCAGAAGAAGCACCGGCUAACUCCGUGCCAGCAGCCGCGGUAAUACGGAGGGUGCAAGCGUUAAUCGGAAUUACUGGGCGUAAAGCGCACGCAGGCGGUCUGUCAAGUCGGAUGUGAAAUCCCCGGGCUCAACCUGGGAACUGCAUUCGAAACUGGCAGGCUAGAGUCUUGUAGAGGGGGGUAGAAUUCCAGGUGUAGCGGUGAAAUGCGUAGAGAUCUGGAGGAAUACCGGUGGCGAAGGCGGCCCCCUGGACAAAGACUGACGCUCAGGUGCGAAAGCGUGGGGAGCAAACAGGAUUAGAUACCCUGGUAGUCCACGCCGUAAACGAUGUCGACUUGGAGGUUGUGCCCUUGAGGCGUGGCUUCCGGAGCUAACGCGUUAAGUCGACCGCCUGGGGAGUACGGCCGCAAGGUUAAAACUCAAAUGAAUUGACGGGGGCCCGCACAAGCGGUGGAGCAUGUGGUUUAAUUCGAUGCAACGCGAAGAACCUUACCUACUCUUGACAUCCAGAGAACUUAGCAGAGAUGCUUUGGUGCCUUCGGGAACUCUGAGACAGGUGCUGCAUGGCUGUCGUCAGCUCGUGUUGUGAAAUGUUGGGUUAAGUCCCGCAACGAGCGCAACCCUUAUCCUUUGUUGCCAGCGGUUAGGCCGGGAACUCAAAGGAGACUGCCAGUGAUAAACUGGAGGAAGGUGGGGAUGACGUCAAGUCAUCAUGGCCCUUACGAGUAGGGCUACACACGUGCUACAAUGGCAUAUACAAAGAGAAGCGACCUCGCGAGAGCAAGCGGACCUCAUAAAGUAUGUCGUAGUCCGGAUUGGAGUCUGCAACUCGACUCCAUGAAGUCGGAAUCGCUAGUAAUCGUAGAUCAGAAUGCUACGGUGAAUACGUUCCCGGGCCUUGUACACACCGCCCGUCACACCAUGGGAGUGGGUUGCAAAAGAAGUAGGUAGCUUAACCUUCGGGAGGGCGCUUACCACUUUGUGAUUCAUGACUGGGGUGAAGUCGUAACAAGGUAACCGUAGGGGAACCUGCGGUUG
This 1520-nucleotide ribosomal RNA is filed under the name Klebsiella aerogenes. RNAcentral describes it as "bacterial SSU rRNA". It matches the Rfam family "Bacterial small subunit ribosomal RNA". The record is from RNAcentral. Lineage: Bacteria; Pseudomonadati; Pseudomonadota; Gammaproteobacteria; Enterobacterales; Enterobacteriaceae.